UACGGGGGGGGCAAGCGUUGUUCGGAAUUACUGGGCGUAAAGGGCUCGUAGGCGGCCAACUAAGUCGGAUGUGAAAUCCCCAGGCUCAACUUGGGAACUGCAUCCGAUACUGGAUGGCUUGAAUUCGGGAGAGGGAUGCAGAAUUCCAGGUGUAGCGGUGAAAUGCGUAGAUAUCUGGAGGAAUACCGGUGGCGAAGGCGGCAUCCUGGACCGACAUUGACGCUGAGGCACGAAAGCGUGGGGAGCAAACAGG
RNAcentral lists this ribosomal RNA (253 nucleotides) under uncultured bacterium. Its description in RNAcentral is "partial 16S ribosomal RNA". It matches the Rfam family "Bacterial small subunit ribosomal RNA", at positions 524 to 776 of the family's 1533-position model. The record is from RNAcentral.